RNAcentral lists this transfer RNA (75 nucleotides) under Canis lupus familiaris (dog). It matches the Rfam family "tRNA". Rfam says of the family: Transfer RNA (tRNA) molecules are approximately 80 nucleotides in length. Lineage: Eukaryota; Metazoa; Chordata; Mammalia; Carnivora; Canidae. The record is from Rfam by way of RNAcentral. RNAcentral also lists the same sequence under 1 other name.
GCCUGGGUGGCUCAGUGGUUGAGCAUCUGCCUUUGGCUCAGGUUGUGGUCCUGGGAUCGAGUCCCACAUCAGGCU